UUAUCAAAUUUCCUCUUCUUGUCCAUCGGUUUCGUUGGCUGCGAAGGACGCGACGAAAACUUCUCCGGUUUCAUCCGUUUCUCCUCCUCAAGCCCAGCUUCGAUCAUGGCUGCCCUCUCAACCAAUUCGGACACCGAAGUAAAGGUUCGAAUCAAGCAAUGGUUACGGAUCUCGAUCCUUAGUCCUCAGAUGAAACGACGAACUUGAGCUUGUUCAUCCUCGAGUUCUCUCCCCACAUAUCGCCUAAGACGAUUGAACUCUUCGUCAUACUCGCGCACCGUUCGGUUCCCUUGAACCAAAUCCAAGUAGGCGCACUCGAGUCUGUCCCAAGCCUCCGGUGGGAAGAAAUUCUUGUUGAAUUCUUCCUCAAAAUCCGCGAAGGAUUGGAUUUGAUCACCUUUCCGUUUCUCGACGGUUAGCCACCAGUUAUGUGCAUCGCCCUCCAAGAAGUGGAUUGCAAUGUCCUUCCGGUAAUCCUCCGGGCAUCGAGUGGAGAUAAAGUUUCUUUUGAGCCGAGUCCUCCACUCAUCCGCCACGAUCGGGUCGGAACUCCCCGUGAAAUGCUUUGUUCCCAACUUCGAGACGUGCGCGAGUAAACUCAAGUAGUCUCCCCGCUUCCUUGAAGAGUUCGUAGGCAGAUUGACUUCAACAGUCUCCACAUCUACGUCCACAUCCGCGUCCGUUUUGUUCUCCUUCACUUGUACCACAGGAUCCGGUACGAGUGCCUUAGUCAAUGCGGCCAUUUGUGCCAUCAUUGCCUUUAUCGUAUCCCAUUGUUCUUGAGCCGAUGGAAGUGCAUUCGGUGCCUCUUUCUCCUUCGUUGCAUCACUACUCUCCGGAGUUUCGUGAACCGGAAGUUUCUGUCCAGCCUCAGGUCCGGCCGGGUUUAUUCCAUCCAUCGUUGCUUCGACCCUUGUUUCCUCAGUGACCCACGUCUCCUCGGCGGUCAAGGUCUCCUCAACGACGUCCUUAUCCUUCUUACUCUUUCCCUUCUUGUCUUUCUUACCCAUCUGUGAAAACUCACAAGUUAGUCAUAUAACUCAAAGUAAUCGUUUAGAGAGAAAGAACAUCUACCGCGAGAUCUCAUUAAGCCGAUGAGUGGUGAUCCCCAAACCCAAAACUCAUAGUCCUAGAACCGUAAAUGCUCUGAUACCAACUUGAAAGACCCCAACCCGGACUCCCUAAGCCCAGAGAGGUUCUUCCCGAACGGAUCACUAAGUGGUCCGAUCCUUAGCCAAAUUUUAGGGUUCAUUCCUUAAGACAAUCCGUUUCAUAUUAUUCCGCGAUUCAUUAUUUAGAGUCAUUAUGCAACCUUAGAGUAAAACAACGAUCGGAUACUUUAUUAGAUAAGUAAAGGAUUCGAUACAACUUAUGAGUUUGCAUAUAAGCUAUUAAAAGUCAUAUAAUCGAUCCUAUUCUACCCGAUUCACCACCACCCAUCUUCCCGACUAUGAGUCUCUCGCGCCUAAGCCAUAUCCUUCCCACGAUCACCAUCCUUCCCUGAAACCAACAAGACAUAAGUACUCGUCUUUUACUUAGUGGAUGCAAGUCCAUGCAAUGCACUAUACGUUCUUAUAAUCCUUUGGUCCGGAAAACGGAUCGGAGAGAGGAAGUAAGCGCAUCAGUUCGGCCUAGAACCGGUAGAUCCUCGCGGAUCCGCCGAUUCCUUGCCGAGCCGCCUCCCCGUCUCAACCAAACCGUUACUCCUCACAAAGUAUGCACGAUAUGAAUAUGCUCAUGAAUGACUAGGCCGAUCAACGAACUAAUCAAACAACCCACAAUAUUCUAGCCCUUAUACCAUCCGCACGUCCGGAGAUCGUAAUCUCCGAGGCAUUACCACGGCUUUACACCCACCUUGACUACACGGAUUCGAUCGGUGAAUGAUCAGUGUUGCCUCUCUCGAUCGCCGAUAGAACGCUCGGCUCCGCAAACUCUCCUUUUAACCGUAUUCCUCUCGGCAAAUGCCUUAGAGUUUUCUCUGGAUUUUAGGUGUUUGCGCGUGUUUUUGAAAAUAAAGGAAUCGCCUUCUAUUUAUAGUUUUUACGAUUAAAACCGUUUUUCCCCAUAGGUGCCCGUUCGGUGGAACACGCUUGUUUGCAUAGGUUCGUUGAAACCGCUCAUUCAUGCAUCUUUGACCAACCGUUCGUUCGCGUCUAUUCGGCCGUUAUAUGUAAUCGUCAACCCAACCGCCUUACUACCUUCCCACCCGGCCAGCUGACCUAGCUAGACGGUCACUCAACCAGCUGACCUUCACUCCGUCCAGCUUAGGUGAGCUACCGAGCAGCUGGUCCAGCUAGUCGAGCUGGUUAGCUUCAACACUUCCAGCUCGUUUCAGCUUGUCACGCACUUUAGAAGCCACUCUAUCCGCUUCCUUUGGACUUAGCCCGAGAUUCCGCUUUUCCCUCGAACCAAGUCUUACCCGGCGAUCCUAUUGAGGGUCGCGGGUGUUACAAGUCUCCCCCCCUUGGAUGGGAUUCGUCCCCGAAUCCGACUCAAGUGGAUCUUCAUCCAUCUCCUUAAACCACUUAGGAAAAUCGGCCUUCAUCUUAUUCUCCGUUUCCCAAGUAGAUUCUUCGCGGCCACCGCAAUCCCAUAAAACUUUUAUCAUGGUUAUCCGUUUCCUCCGAGUUCCCUUCUCCAUUCGAUCCAUGAUUCGAAUUGGUCUUGCUUCCACCGUUAGGUUUUCUUUUAACUCGGAAGGAAUAUCUUCGAGACGCUCCUCAUGUUCGCUUAGACAUUUCCGAAGUUGUGAUACAUGGAAGACCUUGUGGAAUGCAUCCAACUUUGGUGGUAGUUGGAGUUUGUACGCCACAGCCCCUACCCUUUCGAUCACCUUGUAUGGACCAACGUACCUUGGACUCAAUUUCUUCCUUGUAGUAAAUUGCCCUUUUCCCUUAUAAGUCACCGCCUUAAGAUAUACCAAGUCUCCCACUUGGAACUCCAACUCUUUUCGACGCUUAUCCGCAUAACUUUUUUGUCGGUUUUGGGCUUCCUUUAGUUUUAUCUUAAGGAACUUCAUCUUUUCGGUGGUUUCAUCCACAAUCUUCGGACCGAACAGCAUACGUUCGCCCACCGGUGUCCAACAUAGCGGCGUCCGACAUGCUCGGCCGUACAACGCUUCGUAAGGCGACAUACCAAUACUAGCUUUAUAGCUAUUAUUGUACGCGAACUCCACCAACCUUAAGUACUUCUCCCAAUUCCCACCCCAAUCCAAGACGCAUGCACGUAACAUGUCCUCAAGGGUUUGAAUCGUACGCUCGGAUUGUCCGUCCGUUUGCACCAAUCCACUCGAAACUUGGUGUUCCGCCUUGACUAGUUGGCACGUCGAACACUUAGCAACCCAUGCCGCUACGUCCUUCUUCAUUCCAACCCAAUGGUAGUAUCGUUUCAAGUCUCGGUACAUUUUACUCGAUCCGGGGUGGAUCGAGAACUUUGAUUGGUGCGCCUCUUUGAGGAUUUCUUCCUUCAACUCCUUAUCGUUUGGCACGCAUACCCGACCAUUCACCACAAUCCUACCAUUGUUAGACGUUUGGUAUUCUGUCUUAUCGUUCCUUGCCCAAUCGUUUAUCUCCUUGUCUUUCUCUUGAGCCAAACGAAUUCUACUAAGUAGAUCGGCUUGAUCGGCCGCACCUAAUCCCAAUGGCUCAUAAUCCUUAGACAAUGCAUUUAAAUGCAAAGUUCCCAUCAUGUUGACCAAAGCCUCUUGGUUUUUCUCCGCUUCUACUUCAAAACGUCUCCUACUUAAGGUAUCCGCAACUUGAUUUGCUUUCCCCGGGUGAUAUGCAAUAUCUAAGUCGUAAUCCGCCACGAAUUCCAUCCACCUUCUUUGCCUUAGAUUUAACUCCGGCUGGGUGAAUAUGUACUUAAGACUCUUGUGGUCGGUGAAGAUUUGGACUUUAGCUCCGUAAAGAUACGAUCGCCAAAUCUUCAAGGAAAACACCACCGCCGCCAUUUCCAAGUCAUGCGUAGGAUAAUUUCCUUCGUGUUUACGCAAUUGCCUUGAAGCAUAAGCGAUUACACUACCCUUUUGAAUCAAUACGCAUCCUAGUCCCGUGAUCGAUGCAUCCGUAUAGACCAUGUAGGGUUCACCUUCUUCCGGUAGCACCAAUACCGGAGCGCUCGUUAGCAUAGCCUUCAAUUCCGAGAAACUUUUCUCACAUUCCUCCGACCAUUGAAACUUUGUAUCCUUUCCGGUUAGCCGGGUCAUCGGUUGGGACAUACUCGCAAAGCCCUUAACGAACCUUCGGUAAUAUCCUGCCAACCCGAGGAAACUUCUUAUCUCAGUGGCAUUCUUCGGUCGUGGCCAAUCCUUAAUAGAUUUUAUCUUCUCCGGAUCGACGGACACUCCUUUAUCCGAAACAAUAUGUCCGAGGAAUCCAAUACUCCUUUGCCAAAACGAGCACUUGCUUAAUUUUGCAAAUAACUCGUGCUUUCUCAACCGUUCUAACACCGCCCUUAGAUGAUCUUGAUGGGAUUCCCAAUCCUUAGAAUAAACAAGAAUAUCAUCGAUGAAGAUGAUCACAAACUCGUCUAAAAAUUCUUGGAAAACACCAUUCAUCAUCUUCAUAAAGGCUGCCGGUGCAUUGGUUAGUCCAAAUGGCAUGACCACAAAUUCGUAAUGGCCAUACCUUGUCCGAAACGCCGUUUUCCGGAUAUCCAGCGGAUCUAUCGGAAUUUGGUGGUAUCCCGAGGCCAAGUCUAUCUUUGAAAACCACUUGGCACCUCGAAGUUGAUCCAACAACUCAUCUAUCCGAGGUAAUGGAUACUUGUUUUUCACCGUAACUCUAUUCAAUCCCCGAUAGUCAAUGCAUAGCCUAAAGCUACCAUCCUUUUUCUUUACGAACAAGACCGGUGCACCCCAUGGUGAACUACUCGGUCUAAUGAAUCCUUUAUCCAACAACUCUUCCAAUUGUUUCUUUAGCUCCGCCAUUUCCGCCGGUGCCAUCCGGUACGGAGCUUUAGAUAUAGGAGUUGUUCCUGGUUCGAGUUCAAUAGUGAAUGGGUCGGACCGGUCCGGUGGUAAACCACUCACAGCCUCAAACACAUCCGAGAACUCGUUUGCGAUCGGAAUGUCUUUCAACUCCGCACUCACCCCAACUUCGUGGGUUGUGAUUGUGGCUAUGGAUGCCUCACACCCUUUCUCUAGCAUCCUUUCCGCUUGGAUUGCCGAGAUUACCAAACUUCCCGAAGUUGUCCUUAUUCCUUGGAAUUUUAACAUUCCUUCCUCCCUCUCGAAUUGAAUCCGUCCUCGAUGACAAUCAAUAUGUGCCUUAUACUUUCCCAACCAAUCCAUACCCAAGAUAACAUCGUGUUUCUUGAGUUGAACAACGAUUAGGUCCGUAGGCAUAUCGACACCGUUAACCACAACCGAGAUGUCCCGAACAAUACCGGACGGGUACAUUGCUUGCCCGCCGGCUGCUCUAACCAGUCCAUAUUCGGUGUUCCGUUCUUUAAUGAACCCACCCUUUUUAACCAUCUCGGAAAUCACAAAACAAUGUGUAGCUCCGGAAUCAAAUAAAGUGUGUGUUUCCACAUCACCUAUUGAUAGUAGGAUUUUAGCUAAGAUCAAUUAUCCUUAAAGUACUAUCAUGUCAUUGCAGUAUUUAAGGUGUCAAUCCAAAUGGGUGUGAUGCUAGCAAUCAAGAUGCAAUCAGAUAUCACAGAGUCAAGCCAAGCAAUAACAGGUUUUGGUGUUGUUAAUAGCUCUAGCGAUCAUGCAGAUAACAUAAAUUCUAACUAUAACAGGCAAUAUACUCGAUCACACAGCUUGAUGCCAAGCACUGGAUGUGGUCGAGUAUCAGGUCGAGUAAUUUAACAGAAACUGUAAACAGGGUACUCGACUGCACAGUUUGUUACCAAACUACUGGGUGUGGUCGAGUACUUCAAAUGAAACAGGGUAGAAAUGAUAAAACUGAGCAACAAGUAACCAGAUCAAGCAAUUAAUAGCGAUGUAAACAAAGAAAUCAAAUGGAAGAGAAAUUCCCGAGGAUGGGGUGAUCGAGUAUUGAAGUCUUCUUAAUCUAACAGGUGGUUAACAUGCUCAACAAACUAUCCCUAGACAACAAGUUCAAUAGCCAAAUCAAAGUGCUACCGCAACAGAGAUCCUCAAGCAAAGCUAGUCCCAGACUCAAUCACCAUUGACGAGAGCUAACCUAACAGGCAUUACGAAACAACAAGUCUAAGCCAAAACGCUCCCUGUAACCAAUACCUUGGUACAGAGCCACGAAUCUCUGGAAUUAGUGGUUCAGACAUUUCAUCGAACACCUUUUGGGUGCGGAAAUGUCUGGGCUCAGAUUCCAGUUGAUCAGAAAGCAAUCAGCAUUAAGAACAACUAAUCCAGAAGGGAUCUACCAAUCAAACUCAACCACCUAGCAGAUCAAGGAUUCUAAACUACUCUAACCCAUCCUCAAGAACCCUAAUCACUACUCAAAAUUCAUAACCAAGAACACAAACCCAGAAAUACAUAAAAACUUCAUAUUAGCAAGAUCUCAACAAGAUGAACAACUUUGUAGAAGAAAUCAAAAGCAAAUACUCAAUAGAUUAAGAGAAAUCUGGAUUACAAAUAUGAAGAAAAGCACUAAUUGUUCUGCAGAAAAUAAAAACUUCCUCUCAAAAUUAUGAGAAACAACCUAUUUAUAGCAAAUACUAGGAAACCCUAAAUCACAAGACGACAAAGUAUUAAGGCGGUUUACGGAGAUACUCGACCCUUGUGAUCGAGUAGAGAGGUUGAAUAAAGUUGGCGCCUUUGCGAUUUCUUGCUCUGGGCAUGUCGUGAUCGAGCAUUUGGGUCGAGUAUGUGCUCGAGUUCUGCUUCAUCCUCUUCUCUUCCUUAUGCUCAAUGUCUGGUUGAGUUGGGAUCUGAGAAGACUGUGAAGCUUGUGAUCAAGUGGCUGCGGGGAGGUGGUGAUCGAGUAGAUUGGUUGGUGGCACGCUCUGGACUGCUUCUUCAACCCUGCGAUCGAGUAGAACUGUGAACUGGCAGGAUGGACUGCCCUGUGAUCGAGCAGAACUGUGAACUGGCAAGAUGGACUGCCCUGUGAUCGAGCAGAACACUCCUGAUGGUCUGCUGAGCUGACUGCUUCCCUCUCUGCUACUGGUGAUCGAGCAGAAUGGUCCAAAUGUGACUUUCAGCUAUGUUUUUCCUCUUUCUGAACACCAAUAGCCCCGAAGCACCUGAAACAACUCAAAUAUGCAACAUGCAUGCAAAACUACCCUAAUCAUGCAAAGUGAUGACAAAUGAUGAAGAAUGGUAUGAAACAAUGACGAAAUGAUGAUAAAGUGAUGCUAAAUGGAUGCUCAAAACAAGUGAAAUAUAGACAUAUCACCUAUACUCAAGGUCCCUACACAUUUCCCUAUAGUGCUAAGUACCUAAUCCGUUUAUGCACGAUGAAAUGCCAUGCACGAAUUAAAAUAAAAAGCACAAAGGCUUACCAGUGAUCGCCCUGAAGUUCCCAGCGUUGUUAGCUUCCUCCGACAAUUCGUAAACGCGCGGUGCUAUAGCCUGCCUCUUGGGCGGAGGCGGUAACCCAUUUCUGCUACGGGUUACCCUUUGUCCAGCUUGUCUUUCCGCUUCCAGCUUUGGACAUUCUCUCUUGAAGUGUCCCGCUUUCCCACAGUAGAAGCAAGUCCUUUGCUCAUUCACAUUCUCUUUCGGAGUUCCUUGUUCCAUCCGUGGACAGUUUUGGAUACUAUGAUCCUUACUCCCACAACGCACACAUGCACCAACAGCCCUCCAGAAAGUUCCGCUGUGAUUCUUCCCACAAGUAGCGCACUCUCCGCGCUUAGUAUCCGAUUUGGUGUCCUCCACCUUAUCAAAUUUCCUCUUCUUGUCCAUCAGUUUCGUUGGCUGCGAAGGACGCGACGAAAACUUCUCCGGUUUCAUCCGUUUCUCCUCCUCAAGCCCAGCUUCGAUCAUGGCUGCCCUCUCAACCAAUUUGGACACCGAAGUAAAGGUUCGAAUCAAGCAAUGGUUACGGAUCUCGAUCCUUAGUCCUCGGAUGAAACGACGAACUUGAGCUUGUUCAUCCUCGAGUUCUCUCCCCACAUAUCGCCUAAGACGAUUGAACUCUUCGUCAUACUCGCGCAC
This 8086-nucleotide long non-coding RNA is filed under the name Arabidopsis lyrata. Its description in RNAcentral is "long non-coding RNA (ALYR_LNC003358)". The record is from RNAcentral. Lineage: Eukaryota; Viridiplantae; Streptophyta; Magnoliopsida; Brassicales; Brassicaceae.